RNAcentral lists this long non-coding RNA (477 nucleotides) under Apteryx owenii (little spotted kiwi). Its description in RNAcentral is "lncRNA (ENSAOWG00000008191.1)". Lineage: Eukaryota; Metazoa; Chordata; Aves; Apterygiformes; Apterygidae. The record is from RNAcentral.
UCUCCUUUCUAUUUUAUAUUUCUUGUUGGUUCUGCUGCAUAGUUUGAGACAGACCUGUGAUAAUCUCUUUUCCUUCCUGUGCCAUUUCCUAUUCUCUUUGAAAGCACUGUAAUAACCAUGCUGUAAAAAGUAUUUAAUGAUAGGUACAAGUCUGCUGUAGGUUUACUUUAGGUACUUGUACACAUGCCAGCUUUGGACCUAAGUUUGCUGUUCUCAGAGAGCUGUUGCUGAAAACAGCUGUAAUAGAAUCAUAGGUGCUAGACAUUUUAGAGUUCCACUGAGAGCUUAUGUUCAUCUGGAGUCACCACCCACUCAAGUUUGCAAAUGGAAGGCCUCAAAUGAACACUCCUUAGUCUUCUUUCAACGUAGCUUAGCUUAAAAUGCAGAAUAAACUGGUCAUCACGGAAUCACAGAAUGGUUGAGGAUCAGCUUGAUCUGAAGCUGUUCUUCUGGCAGGUGUUGCUGGGAGGACUCAUU